UGGCGGAGUCGAAGUUCGGAUCGAGCCACCUGGCCUUCUGAUAAUCAAGGACUGCACAAUUGCCAUUCGUCAUACCGACGUCAAGAUGUUGAAAGCGCUGGUCCUUUGUUUCCUACUUGCGGCCGCGGCAUUGCCAGGCCCCUCCGAGGCCUUCAUGAGACCUUGCGACCCAAUAAAUGAUUCAGCAGACUGUAGCGAUCGUACUGGAUGGGUUUGCGGACCAUUAACCGUUGGUGGAAAUAAAGUAAUAUAUGUUUGUCAAAAUGGCAGCAAAUAGUCCUGGUCAAAACGAUUAUGAUGAACGCAGGCGAAAUAGAACGAGUUCACCAAAGCGACAGAAGUCGUUGACAAUGGAAAAGUUUUGAUUCUUGACACAUUGUUGUCAAUAUGCUGUAUGGCUUGGAUGUUAAAUAAAGACGACAAAUAUUUGA
This is a long non-coding RNA of Lineus longissimus, 431 nucleotides long. RefSeq lists it as uncharacterized. Lineage: Eukaryota; Metazoa; Nemertea; Pilidiophora; Heteronemertea; Lineidae. The transcript is spliced from 3 exons. The record is from RefSeq and is a predicted model, not a curated record.